AGGCGCCCUGUUCUACUAUAUAAACAUCAUCUUAUACAAAUAUGAGUAGUUUAUGAAACAGGUCGUCAAUAAUCGUUUUGUCUCUUUUUUACUAGUACAAAAUUUCAUUUGGUAAAAGAGAUAAAUAUAUAUUUGUUAUUUCUAGUUAUGGCAACAUUUUGUGAUGACGUCACAACAGCUGUAGGUACGUGCCAUUUUUCGCCAUUUUAUGCGCUGUGUUUUGUGGUACUUCUGCUGUCAAGUAGCUGUUUAUGAGAUCGUAUUUUGUGUUUUGCGGAUAAAUUACGAGGAUUUGAUUUGCUAAAUCGAAGUUGAAGUUGAAAAAAGUGAUAUUCAACAUGUCCGUGUAUUGUAUUGUACAGUGUGGUGCCAGAAAGGACAGAAAUCAACCGUAUUUGUCACUUCAUAGGCCAUCUUUCAAUCCAAAAUUGUCGACUGGAUUUACUGAAACAGGUGAUAUUGGAAAACUAAUCCACAGCUGCAACGUCGUCUGUGCUGCCAUUGCCCGUACGUCUGUCUCAUAAGUCAGUACAUGAAAAGUCUGUUCAAGACGCGAUGAAAAAAUUAAAAGAUAGCC
This is a long non-coding RNA of Pectinophora gossypiella (pink bollworm), 577 nucleotides long. RefSeq lists it as uncharacterized. NCBI's taxonomy places the organism in Eukaryota, Metazoa, Arthropoda, Insecta, Lepidoptera, Gelechiidae. The transcript has 3 exons. The record is from RefSeq and is a predicted model, not a curated record.